CUCGGCGAUCAUAGCGCAGGGGGCACACCCGAUCCCAUUCCGAACUCGGUAGUUAAGCCCUGCAGCGCCAAUGGUACUGCCUUGGUAACGGGGUGGGAGAGUAGGACAUCGCCGGGG
This 117-nucleotide ribosomal RNA is filed under the name Fidelibacterota bacterium. Lineage: Bacteria; Pseudomonadati; Fidelibacterota. The record is from RNAcentral.